This 1256-nucleotide ribosomal RNA is filed under the name uncultured Acinetobacter sp. Its description in RNAcentral is "bacterial SSU rRNA". It matches the Rfam family "Bacterial small subunit ribosomal RNA", at positions 77 to 1328 of the family's 1533-position model. The record is from RNAcentral. Lineage: Bacteria; Pseudomonadati; Pseudomonadota; Gammaproteobacteria; Moraxellales; Moraxellaceae.
AGCCUGCUACCUGACCUAGCGGCGGACGGGUGAGUAAUGCUUAGGAAUCUGCCUAUUAGUGGGGGACAACAUUCCGAGAGGAAUGCUAAUACCGCAUACGCCCUACGGGGGAAAGCAGGGGAUCUUCGGACCUUGCGCUAAUAGAUGAGCCUAAGUCAGAUUAGCUAGUUGGUGGGGUAAAGGCCUACCAAGGCGACGAUCUGUAGCGGGUCUGAGAGGAUGAUCCGCCACACUGGGACUGAGACACGGCCCAGACUCCUACGGGAGGCAGCAGUGGGGAAUAUUGGACAAUGGGCGAAAGCCUGAUCCAGCCAUGCCGCGUGUGUGAAGAAGGCCUUUUGGUUGUAAAGCACUUUAAGCGAGGAGGAGGCUACUUGGAUUAAUACUCUAGGAUAGUGGACGUUACUCGCAGAAUAAGCACCGGCUAACUCUGUGCCAGCAGCCGCGGUAAUACAGAGGGUGCGAGCGUUAAUCGGAUUUACUGGGCGUAAAGCGUGCGUAGGCGGCUUCUUAAGUCGGAUGUGAAAUCCCUGAGCUUAACUUAGGAAUUGCAUUCGAUACUGGGAAGCUAGAGUAUGGGAGAGGAUGGUAGAAUUCCAGGUGUAGCGGUGAAAUGCGUAGAGAUCUGGAGGAAUACCGAUGGCGAAGGCAGCCAUCUGGCCUAAUACUGACGCUGAGGUACGAAAGCAUGGGGAGCAAACAGGAUUAGAUACCCUGGUAGUCCAUGCCGUAAACGAUGUCUACUAGCCGUUGGGGCCUUUGAGGCUUUAGUGGCGCAGCUAACGCGAUAAGUAGACCGCCUGGGGAGUACGGUCGCAAGACUAAAACUCAAAUGAAUUGACGGGGGCCCGCACAAGCGGUGGAGCAUGUGGUUUAAUUCGAUGCAACGCGAAGAACCUUACCUGGUCUUGACAUAGUAAGAACUUUCCAGAGAUGGAUUGGUGCCUUCGGGAACUUACAUACAGGUGCUGCAUGGCUGUCGUCAGCUCGUGUCGUGAGAUGUUGGGUUAAGUCCCGCAACGAGCGCAACCCUUUUCCUUAUUUGCCAGCGGGUUAAGCCGGGAACUUUAAGGAUACUGCCAGUGACAAACUGGAGGAAGGCGGGGACGACGUCAAGUCAUCAUGGCCCUUACGACCAGGGCUACACACGUGCUACAAUGGUCGGUACAAAGGGUUGCUACCUAGCGAUAGGAUGCUAAUCUCAAAAAGCCGAUCGUAGUCCGGAUUGGAGUCUGCAACUCGACUCCAUGAAGUCG